This 460-nucleotide ribosomal RNA is filed under the name uncultured bacterium. Its description in RNAcentral is "partial 16S ribosomal RNA". It matches the Rfam family "Bacterial small subunit ribosomal RNA", at positions 338 to 795 of the family's 1533-position model. The record is from RNAcentral.
CCUACGGGAGGCUGCAGUGAGGAAUAUUGGUCAAUGGGCGCGAGCCUGAACCAGCCAAGUAGCGUGAAGGAUGACUGCCCUACGGGUUGUAAACUUCUUUUAUAAAGGAAUAAAGUGAGGCACGUGUGCCUUUUUGUAUGUACUUUAUGAAUAAGGAUCGGCUAACUCCGUGCCAGCAGCCGCGGUAAUACGGAGGGUCCGGGCGUUAUCCGGAUUUAUUGGGUGUAAAGGGAGCGUAGAUGGGUUGUUAAGUCAGUUGUGAAAGGUUGCGGCUCAACCGUAAAAUUGCAAUUGAUACUGGCAGGCUUGAGUGCAGGAGAGGUAGGCGGAAUUCGUAGUGUAGCGGUGAAAUGCUUAGAUAUCACGAAGAACUCCGAUGGCGAAGGCAGCUUACUAAACUGCCACUGACAUUGAUGCUCGAAAGUGUGGGUAUCAAACAGGAUUAGAUACCCGAGUAGUC